CAAUCCUGGUGGCGAGUGGCGAACGGGUGCAGCUAAUACAUCGGCAACGUGCCCUGUUUGUGGGGGAUAACUAGUCGAAAGAUUAGCUAAUACCGCAUACGACCUGAGGGUGAAAGCGGGGGGACCGAAAGGCCUCGCGCAAUAGGAGCGGCCGAUGUCUGAUUAGCUAGUUGGUGGGGUAAAAGCUCACCAAGGGCGACGAUCAGUAGCUGGUCUGAGAGGACGAUCAGCCCCGCCUGGGACUGAGACACGGCCCAAACUCCUACGGGAGGCAGCAGUGGGGGAAUUUUGGAACAUGGGGGGGCAAACCCCUGGAUCCC
RNAcentral lists this ribosomal RNA (320 nucleotides) under Cupriavidus sp. Its description in RNAcentral is "partial 16S ribosomal RNA". It matches the Rfam family "Bacterial small subunit ribosomal RNA", at positions 80 to 390 of the family's 1533-position model. The record is from RNAcentral. Lineage: Bacteria; Pseudomonadati; Pseudomonadota; Betaproteobacteria; Burkholderiales; Burkholderiaceae.